CACGGGGGGAGCAAGCGUUGUUCGGAAUCACUGGGCGUAAAGGGCGUGCAGGCGGUCAGGUAAGUGGGAUGUGAAAUGCCCCGGCUCACCCGGGGACCGGCAUCUCAUACUGCUUGGCUUGAGUACGGGAGAGGAUGUGGGAAUUCCUGGUGUAGCGGUGAAAUGCGUAGAUAUCAGGAGGAACACCAAUUGCGAAGGCAGCUCGCUGGGACGUGACUGACGCUGAGACGCGAAAGCGUGGGGAGCAAACAGG
RNAcentral lists this ribosomal RNA (253 nucleotides) under uncultured bacterium. RNAcentral describes it as "partial 16S ribosomal RNA". It matches the Rfam family "Bacterial small subunit ribosomal RNA", at positions 524 to 776 of the family's 1533-position model. The record is from RNAcentral.